RNAcentral lists this ribosomal RNA (460 nucleotides) under uncultured bacterium. RNAcentral describes it as "partial 16S ribosomal RNA". It matches the Rfam family "Bacterial small subunit ribosomal RNA", at positions 338 to 795 of the family's 1533-position model. The record is from RNAcentral.
CCUACGGGAGGCUGCAGUGAGGAAUAUUGGUCAAUGGACGCAAGUCUGAACCAGCCAUGCCGCGUGCAGGAAGACGGCUCUAUGAGUUGUAAACUGCUUUUGUACGAGGGUAAACGCAGAUACGCGUAUCUGUCUGAAAGUAUCGUACGAAUAAGGAUCGGCUAACUCCGUGCCAGCAGCCACGGUAAUACGGAGGAUUCAAGCGUUAUCCGGAUUUAUUGGGGUUAAAGGGUGCGUAGGCGGUCGGAUAAGUUAGCGGUGAAAUACCGAUGCUCAACAUCGGGGCUGCGGCUGAUACUGUAGGACUAGAGAUCGGAUGCAGCAGGCGGAAUGUGUAGUGUAGCGGUGAAAUGCAUAGAUAUUACACAGAACACCGAUGGCGAAGGCAGCUUGCUAGGCCGGAUCUGACACUGAUGCACGAAAGCGUGGGGAUCGAACAGGAUUAGAUACCCGGGUAGUC